Molecule: ribosomal RNA, 497 nt
Filed under: uncultured bacterium
Lineage: Bacteria
Description: partial 16S ribosomal RNA
Rfam family: Bacterial small subunit ribosomal RNA
Source: RNAcentral
GAUGAACGCUGGCGGCGUGCCUAAUACAUGCAAGUCGAGCGAACAGACGAGGAGCUUGCUCCUCUGACGUUAGCGGCGGACGGGUGAGUAACACGUGGAUAACCUACCUAUAAGACUGGGAUAACUUCGGGAAACCGGAGCUAAUACCGGAUAAUAUAUUGAACCGCAUGGUUCAAUAGUGAAAGACGGUUUUGCUGUCACUUAUAGAUGGAUCCGCGCCGCAUUAGCUAGUUGGUAAGGUAACGGCUUACCAAGGCAACGAUGCGUAGCCGACCUGAGAGGGUGGUCGGCCACACUGGAACUGAGACACGGUCCAGACUCCUACGGGAGGCAGCAGUAGGGAAUCUUCCGCAAUGGGCGAAAGCCUGACGGAGCAACGCCGAGUGAGUGAUGAAGGUCUUCGGAUCGUAAAACUCUGUUAUUAGGGAAGAACAAAUGUGUAAGUAACUAUGCACGUCUUGACGGUACCUAAUCAGAAAGCCACGGCUAACUACGUG